UACGUAGGGUGCGAGCGUUGUCCGGAAUUAUUGGGCGUAAAGAGCUCGUAGGCGGUUUGUCGCGUCUGCUGUGAAAACCUAAGGCUCAACCUUGGGCUUGCAGUGGGUACGGGCAGACUAGAGUGCGGUAGGGGUGACUGGAAUUCCUGGUGUAGCGGUGGAAUGCGCAGAUAUCAGGAGGAACACCGAUGGCGAAGGCAGGUUACUGGGCCGCAACUGACGCUGAGGAGCGAAAGCAUGGGGAGCGAACAGG
This 253-nucleotide ribosomal RNA is filed under the name uncultured bacterium. RNAcentral describes it as "partial 16S ribosomal RNA". It matches the Rfam family "Bacterial small subunit ribosomal RNA", at positions 524 to 776 of the family's 1533-position model. The record is from RNAcentral.